UACCCGGUAGUCCUAGCUGUAAACAUUGCCCAUUUGAUGUUGCUUUUCCGUUGAGGGAAGGCAGUGUCGGAGCGAAGGUGUUAAAUGGGCCGCUUGGGAAGUAUGGUCGCAAGACUGAAACUUAAAGGAAUUGGCGGGGGAGCACCGCAACGGGAGGAAUGUGCGGUUUAAUUGGAUUCAACGCCGGAAAACUCACCGGGAACGACCUGUGCAUGAGAGUCAACCUGACGAGCUUACUCGAUAGCAGGAGAGGUGGUGCAUGGCCGUCGUCAGCUCGUACCGUAGGGCGUUCACUUAAGUGUGAUAACGAGCGAGACCCACAUCUUUAAUUGCAAAUGUAUAUGAGAAUAUGCAUGCACUUUAGAGAAACCGCCAGCGCUAAGCUGGAGGAAGGAGUGGUCGACGGCAGGUCAGUACGCCCCGAAUUUCCCGGGCUACACGCGCAUUACAAAGAACGGGACAAUACGUUGCAACCUCGAAAGAGGAAGCUAAUCGCGAAACCCGUCCAUAGUUAGGAUUGAGGGCUGUAACUCGCCCUCAUGAUCUGGAUUCCGUAGUAAUCGCGGU
RNAcentral lists this ribosomal RNA (567 nucleotides) under uncultured bacterium. RNAcentral describes it as "bacterial SSU rRNA". It matches the Rfam family "Archaeal small subunit ribosomal RNA", at positions 734 to 1304 of the family's 1478-position model. The record is from RNAcentral.